This 221-nucleotide ribosomal RNA is filed under the name uncultured Staphylococcus sp. RNAcentral's name for it is "partial 16S ribosomal RNA". It matches the Rfam family "Bacterial small subunit ribosomal RNA", at positions 139 to 354 of the family's 1533-position model. The record is from RNAcentral. Lineage: Bacteria; Bacillati; Bacillota; Bacilli; Caryophanales; Staphylococcaceae.
GNGGACACGUACGGGAACGGAGACUAACUACGAUAAGAUAUCGAACCGCAUGGUUCGAUAGUGAAAGAUGGUUUUGCUAUCACUUAUAGAUGGACCCGCGCCGUAUUAGCUAGUUGGUGAGGUAACGGCUCACCAAGGCAACGAUACGUAGCCGACCUGAGAGGGUGAUCGGCCACACUGGAACUGAGACACGGUCCAGACUCCUACGGGAGGCAGCAGAC